This 122-nucleotide ribosomal RNA is filed under the name Mengenilla moldrzyki. Lineage: Eukaryota; Metazoa; Arthropoda; Insecta; Strepsiptera; Mengenillidae. The record is from RNAcentral.
GGUAACGACCACACCACGUUGAAAGCACCAGUUCUCGUCCGAUCACUGAAGUUAAGCAACGUCGGGCGCGGUUAGUACUUGGAUGGGUGACCGCCUGGGAACCCCGCGUGUCGUUACCUUUU